RNAcentral lists this ribosomal RNA (497 nucleotides) under uncultured bacterium. Its description in RNAcentral is "partial 16S ribosomal RNA". It matches the Rfam family "Bacterial small subunit ribosomal RNA", at positions 28 to 507 of the family's 1533-position model. The record is from RNAcentral.
GAUGAACGCUGGCGGCGUGCCUAAUACAUGCAAGUCGAGCGAACAGACGAGGAGCUUGCGCCUCUGACGUUGGCGGCGGACGGGUGAGUGACACGUGGAUAACCUACCUAUAAGACUGGGAUGACUUCGGGAAACCGGAUACACUACCGGAUAAUAUAUUGAACCGCAUGGAUCAAUGGUUAAAGGCGGUUUUGCUGUCACUUAUAGCUGGAUCCGCGCCGCAUUAGCUAGUUGGUAAGGUAACGGCUUACCAAGGCAACGAUGCGUAGCCGACCUGAGAGGGUGAUCGGCCACACUGGAACUGAGACACGGUCCAGACUCCUACGGGAGGCAGCAGUAGGGAAUCUUCCGCAAUGGGCGAAAGCCUGACGGAGCAACGCCGCGUGAGUGAUGAAGGUCUUCGGAUCGUAAAACUCUGUUAUUAGGGAAGAACAAAUGUGUAAGUAACUAUGCACGUCUUGACGGUACCUAAUCAGAAAGCCACGGCUAACUACGUG